CCUACGGGAGGCAGCAGUGAGGAAUAUUGGUCAAUGGGCGUAAGCCUGAACCAGCCAAGUCGCGUGAGGGAUGAAGGUUCUAUGGAUCGUAAACCUCUUUUAUACGGGAAUAAAGUGAGGGACGCGUCCCGUUUUGUAUGUACCUUAUGAAUAAGGAUCGGCUAACUCCGUGCCAGCAGCCGCGGUAAUACGGAGGAUCCGAGCGUUAUCCGGAUUUAUUGGGUUUAAAGGGUGCGUAGGCGGCCUUUUAAGUCAGCGGUGAAAGUCUGUGGCUCAACCAUAGAAUUGCCGUUGAAACUGGGAGGCUUGAGUAUAGUUGAGGCAGGCGGAAGGCGUGGUGUAGCGGUGAAAUGCUUAGAUAUCAUGCAGAACCCCGAUUGCGAAGGCAGCCUACCAAGCCAUGACUGACGCUGAUGCACGAAAGCGUGGGGAGCAAACAGGAGUAGAUACCCUAGUAGUC
RNAcentral lists this ribosomal RNA (460 nucleotides) under uncultured bacterium. RNAcentral's name for it is "partial 16S ribosomal RNA". It matches the Rfam family "Bacterial small subunit ribosomal RNA", at positions 338 to 795 of the family's 1533-position model. The record is from RNAcentral.